This 253-nucleotide ribosomal RNA is filed under the name uncultured bacterium. RNAcentral's name for it is "partial 16S ribosomal RNA". It matches the Rfam family "Bacterial small subunit ribosomal RNA", at positions 524 to 776 of the family's 1533-position model. The record is from RNAcentral.
UACGUAGGUGGCGAGCGUUGUCCGGAAUUACUGGGUGUAAAGCGCGUGUAGGCGGGAGGCCAAGUCUGUGGUGAAAUCGCUCGGCUUAACUGGGCGGGGUCCAUGGAAACUGGUCACCUGGAGGUCGGUAGAGGCAAGUGGAAUUCCCGGUGUAGUGGUGAAAUGCGUAGAGAUCGGGAGGAACACCAGUGGCGAAGGCGGCUUGCUGGGCCGGACCUGACGCUGAGACGCGAAGGCGUGGGGAGCGAACGGG